CUGCUGCUGUUAAAAAGCUCGUAGUUGGAUCAAGAGUUCGACAGUGCAAGGUGGCCCCGCUUGCUCACUUGGCUCCGGUCAUGUGUGCGGCGGCGGAUCAACCCCUUGCGCCAAACUGUCGUCUCUAACAGACCGAAGCGGUUCCCUGUGAGUCGGCCACUUAAUUGGGGCUGAAAGCGUUACGCAUUAACCACAUGCAUACGGGACGUCGGUCAAAGUUACUGUGAACAAACCAGCGUGUCCAAAACAGGCUUUGCCUGAAUGUUCGAGCAUGGAAUAACAAGGGAUCGAUUCUCUC
Molecule: ribosomal RNA, 298 nt
Filed under: uncultured marine eukaryote
Lineage: Eukaryota
Description: partial 18S ribosomal RNA
Source: RNAcentral